CGGGAGAAGGCACGCUGACACGUAGGUGAAGUGAUUUACUCAUGGAGCUGAAGUCAGUCGAAGAUACCAGCUGGCUGCAACUGUUUAUUAAAAACACAGCACUGUGCAAACACGAAAGUGGACGUAUACGGUGUGACGCCUGCCCGGUGCCGGAAGGUUAAUUGAUGGGGUCAGCGCAAGCGAAGCUCCUGAUCGAAGCCCCGGUAAACGGCGGCCGUAACUAUAACGGUCCUAAGGUAGCGAAAUUCCUUGUCGGGUAAGUUCCGACCUGCACGAAUGGCGUAAUGAUGGCCAGGCUGUCUCCACCCGAGACUCAGUGAAAUUGAACUCGCUGUGAAGAUGCAGUGUACCCGCGGCAAGACGGAAAGACCCCGUGAACCUUUACUAUAGCUUGACACUGAACAUUGAGCCUUGAUGUGUAGGAUAGGUGGGAGGCUUUGAAGCGUGGACGCCAGUCUGCAUGGAGCCGGCCUUGAAAUACCACCCUUUAAUGUUUGAUGUUCUAACGUGGACCCGUGAUCCGGGUUGCGGACAGUGUCUGGUGGGUAGUUUGACUGGGGCGGUCUCCUCCUAAAGAGUAACGGAGGAGCACGAAGGUUGGCUAAUCCUGGUCGGACAUCAGGAGGUUAGUGCAAUGGCAUAAGCCAGCUUGACUGCGAGCGUGACGGCGCGAGCAGGUGCGAAAGCAGGUCAUAGUGAUCCGGUGGUUCUGAAUGGAAGGGCCAUCGCUCAACGGAUAAAAGGUACUCCGGGGAUAACAGGCUGAUACCGCCCAAGAGUUCAUAUCGACGGCGGUGUUUGGCACCUCGAUGUCGGCUCAUCACAUCCUGGGGCUGAAGUAGGUCCCAAGGGUAUGGCUGUUCGCCAUUUAAAGUGGUACGCGAGCUGGGUUUAGAACGUCGUGAGACAGUUCGGUCCCUAUCUGCCGUGGGCGCUGGAGAACUGAGGGGGGCUGCUCCUAGUACGAGAGGACCGGAGUGGACGCAUCACUGGUGUUCGGGUUGUCAUGCCAAUGGCACUGCCCGGUAGCUAAAUGCGGAAGAGAUAAGUGCUGAAAGCAUCUAAGCACGAAACUUGCCCCGAGAUGAGUUCUCCCUGAGACUUAGAGUCUCCUGAAGGAACGUUGAAGACGACGACGUUGAUAGGCCGGGUGUGUAAGCGCAGCGAUGCGUUGAGCUAACCGGUACUAAUGAACCGUGAGGCUUAACCUUACAACGCCGAAG
This 1223-nucleotide ribosomal RNA is filed under the name Salmonella enterica. RNAcentral's name for it is "partial 23S ribosomal RNA". It matches the Rfam family "Bacterial large subunit ribosomal RNA", at positions 1737 to 2925 of the family's 2925-position model. The record is from RNAcentral. Lineage: Bacteria; Pseudomonadati; Pseudomonadota; Gammaproteobacteria; Enterobacterales; Enterobacteriaceae.